UGAGGAAUAUUGGUCAAUGGUCGCAAGACUGAACCAGCCACGUAGCGUGAGGGAAGACUGCCCUAUGGGUUGUAAACCUCUUUUAUCUGGGAAUAAAGUGAGCCACGUGUGGCUUAUUGCAGGUACCAGAAGAAUAAGGACCGGCUAAUUCCGUGCCAGCAGCCGCGGUAAUACGGAAGGUCCAGGCGUUAUCCGGAUUUAUUGGGUUUAAAGGGAGCGUAGGCCGCUUGGUAAGCGGGCAGUGAAAUGCAGAGGCUCAACCUCUGACUUGCUGUUCGAACUGCCAGGCUUGAGUACGCACGAGGUAGGCGGAAUUUGUGGUGUAGCGGUGAAAUGCUUAGAUAUCACAAAGAACUCCAAUUGCGAAGGCAGCUUACCGGAGCGCAACUGACGCUGAAGCGCGAAAGUGCGGGUAUCGAAUA
Molecule: ribosomal RNA, 422 nt
Filed under: uncultured prokaryote
Description: bacterial SSU rRNA
Rfam family: Bacterial small subunit ribosomal RNA
Source: RNAcentral